GUGCAGGGCGGCGUGCUUACACAUGCAGUCGAACGAUGAAGGAGGAGCUUGCUCCUCCGGAUUAGUGGCGAACGGGUGAGUAACACGUGAGCAAUGUGCCCUUGACUCUGGAAUAAGCGCUGGAAACGGCGUCUAAUACCGGAUACGACCUUCGGAGGCAUCUCCUGGGGGUGGAAAGAAUUUCGGUCAAGGAUCAGCUCACGGCCUAUCAGUUAGUUGGUGAGGUAAUGGCUCACCAAGACGACGACGGGUAGCCGGCCUGAGAGGGUGACCGGCCACACUGGGACUGAGACACGGCCCAGACUCCUACGGGAGGCAGCAGUGGGGAAUAUUGCACAAUGGGCGCAAGCCUGAUGCAGCAACGCCGCGUGAGGGACGACGGCCUUCGGGUUGUAAACCUCUUUUAGCAGGGAAGAAGCGAAAGUGACGGUACCUGCAGAAAAAGCACCGGCUAACUACGUGCCAGCAGCCGCGGUAAUACGUAGGGUGCAAGCGUUGUCCGGAAUUAUUGGGCGUAAAGAGCUCGUAGGCGGUUUGUCACGUCUGCUGUGAAAUCCCGAGGCUCAACCUCGGGCUUGCAGUGGGUACGGGCAGACUAGAGUGCGGUAGGGGAGAUUGGAAUUCCUGGUGUAGCGGUGGAAUGCGCAGAUAUCAGGAGGAACACCGAUGGCGAAGGCAGAUCUCUGGGCCGUUACUGACGCUGAGGAGCGAAAGCAUGGGGAGCAAACAGGCUUAGAUACCCUGGUAGUCCAUGCCGUAAACGUUGGGAACUAGAUGUGGGGACCAUUCCACGGUGUCCGUGUCGUAGCUAACGCAUUAAGUUCCCCGCCUGGGGAGUACGGCCGCAAGGCUAAAACUCAAAGGAAUUGACGGGGGCCCGCACAAGCGGCGGAGCAUGCGGAUUAAUUCGAUGCAACGCGAAGAACCUUACCAAGGCUUGACAUAUACGAGAACGCGCUGGAGACAGCGAACUCUUUGGACACUCGUAUACAGUGGUGCAUGAUGUCGUCAGCUCGUGUCGUGAGAUGUUGGGUAAGUCCCGCACGAGCGCACCCUCGUCUAUGUGCAGCACGUAUGGUGGGACUCAUGGGAUACUGCCGGGGUCACCUUCGGAGAAGGUUGGGGAUGAGUUCAAAUCAUCC
RNAcentral lists this ribosomal RNA (1142 nucleotides) under Agrococcus baldri. RNAcentral's name for it is "bacterial SSU rRNA". It matches the Rfam family "Bacterial small subunit ribosomal RNA", at positions 33 to 1195 of the family's 1533-position model. The record is from RNAcentral. Lineage: Bacteria; Bacillati; Actinomycetota; Actinomycetes; Micrococcales; Microbacteriaceae.